This is a long non-coding RNA of Clupea harengus (Atlantic herring), 216 nucleotides long. RefSeq lists it as uncharacterized. The record is from RefSeq and is a predicted model, not a curated record. The transcript is spliced from 3 exons. Lineage: Eukaryota; Metazoa; Chordata; Actinopteri; Clupeiformes; Clupeidae.
CAAUAACACAAGCUUCACAGGCUGAGAGAGCUGAGCACAAUGUCCUGGUUUGCAGGAAACUGAAACCGAAUUGAAUUUAUCUUAUUACAUUUUCAUUUUUACGUCUUCCUCAUCCAUCACUGCACAUUGCAGUUACUCCCCAGAUUGUACUCUACUGGUGUUUUUGUUUCAACAUCAACUUUAUCGGGGGCGACAGUGGUACAGUGGUCGAGAAGU